UUGAACGCUGGCGGCAGGCCUAACACAUGCAAGUCGCGCGGAUGAAGGGAGCUUGCUCCUGGAUUCAGCGGCGGACGGGUGAGUAAUGCCUAGGAAUCUGCCUGGUAGUGGGGGAUAACGUCCGGAAACGGGCGCUAAUACCGCAUACGUCCUGAGGGAGAAAGUGGGGGAUCUUCGGACCUCACGCUAUCAGAUGAGCCUAGGUCGGAUUAGCUAGUUGGUGGGGUAAAGGCCUACCGAGGCGACGAUCCGUAACUGGUCUGAGAGGAUGAUCAGUCACACUGGAACUGAGACACGGUCCAGACUCCUACGGGAGGCAGCAGUGGGGAAUAUUGGACAAUGGGCGAAAGCCUGAUCCAGCCAUGCCGCGUGUGUGAAGAAGGUCUUCGGAUUGUAAAGCACUUUAAGUUGGGAGGAAGGGCAGUAAGUUAAUACCUUGCUGUUUUGACGUUACCAACAGAAUAAGCACCGGCUAACUUCGUG
This 483-nucleotide ribosomal RNA is filed under the name uncultured bacterium. RNAcentral's name for it is "partial 16S ribosomal RNA". It matches the Rfam family "Bacterial small subunit ribosomal RNA", at positions 30 to 507 of the family's 1533-position model. The record is from RNAcentral.